UGUAAGAACGACUUCCAAUUCCGUGCUAAGGACUUUACUGAAUAAAAAACCAGCAACAACCCCUUUGACGGAAACGAAGAUUAAAUCAGAGAAUGCCCCUCAGUCGAAUGAAGCGACUCUGUCAAAACAAGACACGACAGUUAAAUCGGAAAUACCUUUUAAAAGGUAAUGAUACACACUAUAUUUUAUUUUUUUAGUUAUGCUUAUUUUGUAAAAUAAUACCAAUAUCCUAAGAAAAAAUCGGACGCAUUAUUAUUAUUAUUUUUUCGGUUUUUUUUAUCAUUUUAGAUACACAUCCGCUAGUACCACUAGUUGUACAUACUCUCCUCCUGACGAUGAGAACUGGCCACCUGCAGCAAGUUCACCAUUUGCAAAUGUCGAGGAUUCUAUCCUAACGACUUUAAGGAGAAAGAAUCCCAAUAAAUACGAAGCAUUGAAUCGGAGGAUAACAGAGCCAAGGGCCACCGCUACGCGGGAAUUUAAAGUUUUAAAAGCCCUCCAGAAAAGAAUAGUCCAAGACAUGCAGCAAAGUGAGAUAAUAGUUAAUUAUCUCACUGACAAAUAUGAAGAUGAACCCGAGAAGAAGCGGGUGAAGUUUUCUUAAAUUCCAUUGGAAAUUGGAUUGUGAAAUGAACAAAAUAUACAGCAGUGAGAAAUAAUAACUUGAAGAUCUCACGGGCAAAUAUAGUGAUGAACUUCAAGCGAACCGUGUUACUUUUUUGUGUGUUUUUUUUACAUACGUCAGAAAUUUGUUUUAGAUAUUGCUCGUGAAAUGAAUAAAACGGUAUUGACCUUGUUUUCUUUUCUGUUGUAAUAUACUGAAAUUAUGGUUUGGAGAAAAAAAAGUAUUUUCCCAAGGUAACAAUAUGAGACAGCGGGAUACACUAAGUUUAAAGAUGUUUUUAC
This is a long non-coding RNA of Ostrea edulis (European flat oyster), 906 nucleotides long. RefSeq lists it as uncharacterized. The record is from RefSeq and is a predicted model, not a curated record. The transcript is spliced from 2 exons. Lineage: Eukaryota; Metazoa; Mollusca; Bivalvia; Ostreida; Ostreidae.